Molecule: long non-coding RNA, 207 nt
Filed under: Pan troglodytes (chimpanzee)
Lineage: Eukaryota; Metazoa; Chordata; Mammalia; Primates; Hominidae
Description: long non-coding RNA NONPTRT016815
Source: RNAcentral
UGUUAGUGACUUUUCACCUUCAACUUUAUUUCUGCAUAUAUACAGCAUAUAUACACACACACAUACAAUAUUGCAUUUCCUGCUUCUCCCUUCUUAACUCCUGUCAUCUCUAGGGUUUAUUAAUUCUCUGGAAUUCUAGUAAAUUGCUAAUUUAUCAGAAGUUAGAGAAAGACUUUAGUCAAAAAGAUUCAGGUACUGGCCUCUUUG